This 10266-nucleotide long non-coding RNA is filed under the name Olea europaea (common olive). RNAcentral's name for it is "long non-coding RNA (OEUR_LNC008250)". The record is from RNAcentral. Lineage: Eukaryota; Viridiplantae; Streptophyta; Magnoliopsida; Lamiales; Oleaceae.
GUAGCUAUAUGUCAAAUUUUCCUUGUCAAUAUUUUCAACACGGUGCUUGACGCUCUUGAACUGGCUUCCUUCGCCAAAAGUGAUAACCUUGAUGGUUCCGACUCCACCGUCUCCCUCAAGGAUUUCGACACUUUUGAUGGCUUGAGGCAGGAUCUUGGGGAUGAGGUUGUCAGAGUCGAGGAUAAUGGACUUGAACAACUUUCCGGCCGGGAUUGAUGAAGUGAUCUCCAUAUCAUAAGUGAUGGCACCCAUGAUGAUUUCUCAAGAAUGGAAUAGUAUGAAAAAGGAUUGAUGAAAUUGUGAGAAAUGUGGGAAGUUGGAUUGCUAUUUAUAUUGGUAGAUAGAAAGUUCUCUUUCAUAUGAACUAUUGAGUAUUGACCAAAAUGGGAGGUCUUGAACGUGGUUGGGACACAAUGAAAUGAGAAGAUUAAUAAGGGUGUGGACGUGGCCUGAUUAUUACACAUCUACCAUUCCAUUAUAGACCAGCUUGCAGAGUUAUAUCUUGACAUUUAUAGUCUCUAUACGGUGUUUUUUUUUUUUUUUUUUUUUUUUUUUUUUUUUUUUUGGAAAGAAUGUGGGUCGAAUAAAACUUUAGUCUCACUAUACAAUCUAAAGUAACGAAAAUAAUGUAGAGGUACUAUUGUCCAUAUUCACAUUAAAUCACAUAUUCUACAGAAUCUACAACUUAUAAUCACUUGAAUUAUAAUUUAAACACCAACCAAACAUGCACAGAUGUAUAUAGUGAGUGAACGAUUAUGUCGUAGGGGUUUGAAUUCAAUAUAUAUAAGCCAUAAAUUUUUUCAAAUUAUCAUUGAAAUGAAGCCCAAACAGGGCUAAAUAAAAUUAUCAUUUUUAGUAUAAAUCGUCUGAUUUUCUUUGACAUGUAUGUAAUGGUCCAAUUAUUUUUCGAUCAUUUCAAAAGCCUCCCUCCAACGUAAAGGGGGUAUGGGUUUCAAUUGUAAGUUCAUUCAAGCCCUCAAACUUACUCAAUCUGUCUCUUUGAAUCGUUUCUUGAAAAUUCGCACAUUGAAAACGCUUUCCAGCUUAAAACCAUUCAACUCAAAGCUCUCAAAUUUAAUGAAAGAUGGCUUGGUGUCUGAAGCACAGAAACUGUUCUUUGGAAUGCCCCAAAGAAAUACAGUCACAUAUAAUGCUAUGAUAAGAGGAUAUUUUCAAAAUGGGUUUUUUGAACAAGCUAUGGAUUUGUAUAUUCAAAUGCCGGUUCGGGAUAUUUUCUCGUAUAAUACUAUGAUCUGUGGGUUAAUGCAAUAUGGGGAUGUUAAAGGGGCUGAAGAGAUUUUUGACUGUAUGGGGUGCACAGAUAUUGUCACUUGGAAUUCAAUGAUUUCUGGAUACAUUGAUAAUGAUUUGAUGGAUGAUGCAGUGAGAAUAUUUAAUGCGAUGCCUAUGAAAGAUGUUGUUUCGUGGAAUUUGGUUAUUGCAGGACUGGUGAAAGUUAAGGAGUUUGGUAAGGCUGAGCAAAUGUUUAGGGGGAUGAGCACGCGGGAUGUUGCAUCUGGUACUAUUAUGAUGAAGGGGUUUUUGGGAGAUGGUCGAAUUGAAGAAGCAAGGGAAUGUUUUGAUAAUAUGCCUAUAAAGGAUGUUCAAGCUUGGAAUACAAUGAUCAGUGGUUACGUGCAAACUGGACUUGUUGAGAUUGCGGAAGUCUUGUUUCAUAAGAUGCCUGAAAAAGAUGGGAACUCAUGGAAUGAAAUGAUGGAUGGGUUUGUAAGUGUUGGUAGGAUAAUUGAUGCCAUGAAGCUUUUCGAUGAAAUGCCUCAAAAAUGUGAAAGAUUAUGGAAUUUAAUAUUGUUGGGAUUGGUAAGGAACGGUUUGGUGAAAGAAGCUCAUGCCUUGCUAGAGAAAAACUCAUAUAGUAAUAUAGUGUCAUUGACGAAUGUGAUGAUUGAAUACUUUAAUAAUGGAAACGUUGACAGUGCCUUGAAAAUUUUUGAAUGGAUGCCUGUUCGUGACACAACUGUAUGGAAUGCCACUAUUUGGAUUGGGAGAAAAUGAUCGUAGCGAGGACAGUAUAAAAUUGUUCAUCAAAAUGAAAGAAGAUGGUAUGUUCCAGGAUGAAGCUACAUUUACAAGUUUACUUACCAUAUGUUCAAACCUUUCGUCCUUGAACCUUGGUAAAGAAAUUCAUGCAGAAGUAAUUAAGGUGGGGAUUAAUUGCUUUAUCCCUGUUAGUAAUGCAUUAGUGACCAUGUAUUUUAGAUGUGGAAAAAUGGACUCUGCAGUACUUGAAUUUUAUUCCAUGUCCGGCCAUGAUGUUAUUUCUUGGAAUUCUGUAAUUAGUGGAUUAGCUCACCAUGGGCAUGCUGAACAAGCUAUAGAGAUGUUUGAGAAAAUGAGAUUAUCAAAUGUGAAGCCUAAUCAAAUAACUUUUGUAGGUGUCCUUUCUGCAUGUGGCCAUGCCGGCCUUGUUGAACAUGGUAAAUAUUACUUUAAUAUUAUGCAAAAUGAGUAUUUUCUUCACUCAACAACUGAGCAUUAUACUUGUAUUGUUGAUCUGUUGGGUAGAUUUGGACUUAUAGAUGAGGCAAUGAAUAUUUUGGAUCAGAUGGGUGUAUUAGGACUAGAAGUUCCAGCAAGUGUUUGGGGAGCAUUGUUUGGAGCAUGUAGAAUGCAUGAUAACAUCACUAUAGGUGAGAUUGCUGGGAACAAGAUUCUGGAAUUAGAGCCUUCUAACUCUGGUGUGUAUAUGAUUCUAGCCGAAAUAUACCUGGCUAGUGGGAGGAAAGAUGAGGCAGAAAGGAUAUCGGUUCGCAUGAAAGAGAAUGGUGUUAAAAAGCAGCCUGGCUGUAGUUGGAUUGAGUCAAACGAUGGUGGCCAAGUAUUUCUUGCAGGGGACAAAACACAUCCUGAGUUUAAGUUCAUCUCCCAUGUUAUAGACUUGAUAUAUAUGGAGAUGGAGAUAGAACAUUUGAAAUCAGAUUUUGCUUCAUUCUCUGAAUCUAUAGAAGGCAUGUAGCUAAUAUUGAAGCAGCUGUUGCUUGAACAUUUGUCUGUGGAAAAUGAUCUAUUUUUUGGAAUAUUGAAGAAUGUGUAUUGAUGAGUAUCAGAAUCUCUAAAGAGAAGUCAUGGUCCAGCCAUCACGAGGAAGUGGAAGUGUAAUACAAAAGAAAACUAUUGAUUGCAGAAGGCAAUUGACCCCUCUUGGCCUAAUAUAAAUUGUGUGGCUAACAAAGGUAGUGGAAUGACAAUCUCAUGAUCAUAUUGUGGCUGACUACUAAAUUCAAAUAACAAUUUAAUCUCUUAGAUGGCCUAUUGUGUCCAGCCCCAUACAAGAUUCAGCAAAGGGACUGCUGAUCGCACAGGUAAGAUAUGUGUGUAUAAGUCAGAUGCUAUAACGGAUGAAUGAGUUUUCCAAACUGACUUCAUUUAUGAGGACAGGGAUGAAAAAUGAAGCCUCCUUUAUGGAUCUCUCCACCAUUAUGUCCCUGGAAAAUAACUUGAUUAACAUAAUGCUGGAACCUUGUAUGGCGAUGGUGAUUGCAUCAUUAGGCUGGAUCAUUCUUACGAGAACUGCGUAGAUGCUAGGCGGAAACAGACUUGAUGUUGGCCGUUCAUUCAAUUAUUCGGGGUGAAGGACCAUGGGGCGUUUAUCGAUGAACAGCGGAUUGACUGAGCUUUUGGCAUUGCUUUGUUUUUCUCUCCUUUCCUAUCAGCAAGUGCAGUCUUGAUUGAUAAUGGGAGUGGUUUGAAUGUUUGCACGUUGAGCAGUAUAUAGGAUAUUUUAAGACGCAUCAGAUACCACCUCUCUUUUGAUUGAUAUUCAGUAUCCCACAUCAACUGAGAAGGGAACCAGGUUGCUGGCUUACUUGCGUCUGAGGGUUUGCACCGUCGCUGUUAUCAGAAUAUGUUCCUCUCUUACUUCCUCACUGGAUACUUGCUCUUCUUUUGAUAUACAGACAUGGUCUUCCUAACUUUAGGGUCAUUAGAGACUUUUACGUGCUUCAUCUUUGUGUGGGAAGUAAAACUCUCCCAUUUAUUUCACCUCUUCAUAUGUCGCACUCUUUUAUGUUCGGAGGUCAGGUAUAUGUCCUUCGAUAUAUUAAAUAGUUGGGAAAUCCUAACCUCCAUUCUUGGUGGAACCUAAAAACUAAGUAAGGUUGUGUUGAUGCUUUGCUUUAUAAAAAUAAAGGGAUGCUAUUCAUGUGAUUAAUUUAGCAAUUUAAAUAAACACUUUCCCAGCUAUUAAAGCUGUAAAUUUGCAAAAAGAUUGAGUUCAGCUUGUUUUUCCGAUUUCACAAGUAAUUGUUUCGUAUUUUUCUCGCUGCUAUUCAUCGUGUUCCUAGUGGCUUUUGAUUUUAUGCAACAGUUUCAUUUUAUAUUUGUAAGCAGAGAAUUUGUGUACCAUUAAAACUUACCAAUCUAUUUUUUAAUAAAAAAAAAAUUCUACUCGUAUUUUCAUAGAAUUAUCUUUUUUCUUUAUUAUGGGGUAUGCUUGUGAUGUAUGAACUUGUUCAGUUUUGUUAAUCUCUGUUUCGAUACAUCAGAUAGAUAAAACCAAAUAUUGUGGCGUUAAGUGAUGAAAGUUCUUGGUCUUCUCCUCCCCAGAUUUUAAGGAUGAAUAAAGACUCAUUCGGUUUGGAUUGUUUGCAGUGAUGAUUUUACACUCGGGCAGAUUAAACAUUAUGGAUCCAUAAGAUGAAGCAAACCAUCACACAGUUAAAAUGAAGUAAAUCCUCUUCCAUUAAUUAUUUAAAUACGAAUUCAACCAAGAGUACUUUGAAGCUUUUCAGUACAACACUGAUCUUAUUCUGCAGAAAAUGCAAAUGCAGCAUUUCUAGGAAACAUAAAUCACUCAAUUGUAUAAUAUUUUAGGCAGUGUAAAUUUAAGCAACAUGUUUAAUUGUAGGCAUCGGGAUUUGCUUGGAGAUAAGCUUCUACAGUCUUGAAAAUUCCCAUGGCCUUCUCUUUACCUUCCUUGAUCUUCUCCUCGGAAAUCUGGGCAUCACCCUUGGUGUUGUAAAUGCUCCUGUUCUUGCAGAUAGAUCCUCCAUCAGCAGCCGGAACAAUUUUGACAUGGUAAUUGAUCGACUCCAGAACGUCCAUCAGAGCAUCCCCUUCAAUGAUGCUGUAGCUAUAUGUCAAAUUUUCUUUGUCAAUAUUUUCAACACGGUGCUUGACACUCUUGAACUGGCUUCCUUCGCCAAAAGUGAUAACCUUGAUGGUUCCGACUUCACCGUCUCCCUCAAGGAUUUCGACACUUUUGAUGGCUUGAGGCAGGAUCUUGGGGAUGAGGUUGUCAGAGUCGAGGAUAAUGGACUUGAACAACUUUCCGGCCGGGAUUGAUGAAGUGAUCUCCAUAUCAUAAGUGAUGGCACCCAUGAUGAUUUCUCAAGAAUGGAAUAGUAUGAAAAAGGAUUGAUGAAAUUGUGAGAAAUGUGGGAAGUUGGAUUGCUAUUUAUAUUGGUAGAUAGAAAGUUCUCUUUCAUAUGAACUAUUGAGUAUUGACCAAAUGGGAGGUCUUGAACGUGGUUGGGACACAAUGAAAUGAGAAGAUUAAUAAGGGUGUGGACGUGGCCUGAUUAUUACACAUCUACCAUUCCAUUAUAGACCAGCUUGCAGAGUUAUAUCUUGACAUUUAUAGUCUCUAUACGGUGUUUUUUUUUUUUUUUUUUUUUUUUUUUUUUUUUUUUUUUUGGGCUCAAAAUUUUUCUUUUUUUUUUUUUUUUUUUUUUUAAUAACUUGUAGGACCUAAAAUUUGCCUUCUAAUGUCGUAGGAAGUACAUCGUAGACUUGCUAUUUGACUUGUACUGCAUCUAGAGUUUCUAUUUACCGUUUACUUUUUAUUAAUAAUAAAAUUAGUGAAGGAUUUAUUGCACGUCUUCAACAACGAAAUCGUGAACACGAACUUACAAUAACAGUUAGGGUCUGUUUGAUUGUAAAGAUGAAAUUGAAUUGCCUAGAAAACGAAUUUCAGAUAAUCGAAUUGCUUAGAAAUUGUUUUUUUGAGAAUUGUAAAUUAUUGUGUUUGAUUGGUAUAAUUUUUUACGUGAAAAAUGUUGAAAUAAAAAUAUUUUUUGGUGUACGUUUGGCUUUGCUUUACAUGAAAAUUGUUAAAUAAAGGGAUAUAAUUUACUGGUAUUGGGGAUGAAAUUUGUUCCCACUGCCCAAAAAAAAAAAAAAAAAAAUCUAUCUUUUGGUGUUCGUUUAACUUUGUUUUAUAUGAAAAUUGUCAAUUAAAUGGAAAUAUUUUUUUAUAAUAAUUCUUAGAAUUUGUUUCUAUUACUAAAAAAAAAUUUUAAAAAAAUGCUACAAUAACCGGAAAUUCCAAUUGAUGCCACAUAAGCCAAUUUCCAUGAAUUCAAGGAGCUAUGAAAUUGGCUUGUGUGGCACCAAAGAUGAAAAUUCAAUUCUAGGUAAAAAAAAAUGGCUACCAACAAGGUUAAAUCGGAAGGUGGAAUUCUAAUUUCAUUUUCCAUGAAAUUCCACCUCUAAUCAAACACUACCUUAAUUUUCUAGUCAAUUACCGAUUCUUCUUGUAUAAAUACGAUCACUUGCAAGUUGUUUGGUCUUGCAACUUGCAAGUUAUCGAGGCCCUACAGCUUUUAUGCUGUGUGGGUGGCGUGGGGUGGGGGUGGAGCGGAGGAUGGGAAAGUGAAGUGGCAGUGGAAAAUCUACAAUAAGAAGACUUGUUUAAGAUAAAAUGUUGAAUGAUCAAUUUCUAAGUUGAAUAUUAAACUAAUUCACACAGGAGAAUGUUCUGUGUUACGCCAAAUUUGGGUUUUUUGACUAUCCUUCGUUCAAUUUCAUUAUCCAUUCUAACUUAAAAGGGUGCCAUUAGUUAUUGUAAGGAGAUUACUUCCCCAAUCCUUGUGGCCUAGGUGUUAAGGACAACGUCUUUAACUUGCCAACUAUCUUUGUCUUCAAUACGUUCGAGCGUAAGAGAGCCAGUUUAGAAGUGAGGGGUAAAGUUAUUGAAAUUUCUACUGGUAACAUAAUAAUGAGUCGAAAAAAUUAGCCAAUGUAACUGUUGUCAAAUCAAUGACUAUUACAAUCAAAAGAAAGAAGAAAUAGAAUGAAGACGAAGCGAGGUAUGCUAUAGAAAUCUCUUUAAAACAUAUUUCACUAUCCAUGAAGUGGUGCCAACAUGAUAAUUGAAUGUUUAUCUUCCAAGAUGUAACAUUUCUACCAAAAUAAGCAGUCCACUACACCAACCUUGUCGAUUGAAUCAAAGUGUUGACAAUAUUCAUCUUGAACGGAACAAAUUAAAAUAGUCUAACAAAAUUUUAUUUCUGAAAAUAAUUCACACAGAAUUUUAUUUUAGCAAAAUAAAAAAAACAGAAUUUUGAAAGAGAGAACAAAAUUAGAAAUCAAUUAUAACUUGAAUUAAUUUGGUGCAGAAAAAUGAAACUAUGCGGUCGCAUAGAUUUGUACUAUGCGACUGCAUAGAACAAAAAUCUAGCCAUUGGUGACUGGUUUUGUUUGAAAUUUUGGUGGCUUUUUAAUGGUAUUUGGCACCACUUUGUACAGCAUUGUUGAUGGCUAUAUAUAGGAAGUUGGUGAUCAAUGGAAAAUAUAGAAAACACAUAGCCGCAUAUGAGAUUACAUUAUUCAUUCCAAAAUUAUUGCAAAUUCAAUUUCUCUCCAUAUUCAAAGCCAUUUUCACUUGUUCAUUUUUUAAGAUCACAUUGCUUUUGGUGUUCAUCAUUAAAGGCUUGUUUAAUCCUGCAAACUAUUUGCCAAUUAAAUCCUUAAAAGCAUUGUGGAGGAGACAAAUAUCCUUUUAGAACAACGACUAAUUUUCGUGUUCAAGUCUUCACCGAAUUUUAUAUUCAUCAUCUUCUUCUUUUAUUUUCUCCAUUGUUGUAAUUUUUUACUAACAGCUAUUGCUGUCGUUUUGCUCAAAAAAUUCAUUAUCUCAAAAUCGUUGAGUGCUAGUAAGAUGCAAAUUAGUCAUUUCAAGUCAACUUAUCUAAAAAAAAUUUAAGUGUAAUACUUUUCAAUCAAUUAGUUAUCGAUUGGAUGGUUUUGUUAUUUUUAUUUCAUUCCAAAGAAUUAUUAUAUGAAUAUAACACUUAUAGCAAUUGUUAUAGGGUCUGAUAAAGAAUAGAGAUAUAUACUAUUAUGCUUUGCUUGACGUAAAUGGAAUGUUCUUGUGUUUAAAGCAUUUUUCCUAUUCGGAUUUUCUAUAGAGAUAUGAGAAGAUCGCAUGUGAGGAUAUAUCAAAUUCUACUUGAGAGAUAUUAUUAAAUAAAAUAAUAACGUUGAUCAACAAGAAUAAAAAAGUGUUGUCAUGGUCUUGAGUUAUUUUAAAAUGGAUUAAUAAAGGAGGAUUCAAAGUCUUAGUUCGUCAAUUCUAUCAAUUUUACAAACACUUCUUAAUUGCUCACUAGAUUAGGUUAAAUAAUUAAUAUAAAAUCAAUCAACUAAAAAAUUGGCUAUUCAAUUGGAGUUAAUAUUAAUUAAUAUUAAUUAGAACUAGAUUAAUUACACAGUCUUCAAGGAACAUACUUUAUUCACUACUCUAUUACUCAGCUACAGUACCGAACACUUGAAAAAUUUCGUAAAUCAGCAUCGUUAUGCUCGAUCAUUUAUUCGAGAACCUGCAUAGAUGCUAUUUAUGUGGUCAAUAUAGCAAUUUAAAUAAACACUUUCCAUCCAGAUGUUAAAACUGCAACUUUGCUAAUAGAUUGAGUAAAGCUUCUUUUUCCAAUUUCACAAGUAAUUGUAUCCUAUUUUUCUCACUGCUAUUCAUCUUCUUCCUAGUGGCUUUUGAUUUUAAGGAACAGUUUCAUUUUAUAUUUGCAAGCAGAGAACAUUCAUUGCCCUUUAAAACAUUAACCAAACAUGUUUGGUCGCUUGUGAUGUAUCAACUUGUUCUUUUGUCAGGCGGAGGGAGAGGGGGCUGGGCUGGGGUACAAGCCCAAAAGCAAAUAACUUGUGAAAAAUGGAAAAUUCAGCCCAAAUUAUUGGAGAAACAAAGAAGAAUGAAAAUUUAGCCCAGCCCAAAAAUUAAUUUUAGCCCAAUUAACUUCAUUCCCAACCCAAGCCCAAUGUUCAAUUAUUCAAAUUUAAAUAGUUCAUUUAUAAUCAAAUUAGUUUAUUAUAUUAGAAAUAAUUUUUAUUGAUUAAAAUAAAGAUAAAUAACUUAUUGUAACAUGUCACAUGUUUGACUAAGCUUAAAAGUAAUUAAUUUUUUUCUAACGUAUUUUUUCAUAUGUUCCUUAUUUAUAUUGGUGAGUUAUAUUUAUUUCGAUCACGAAAUGGAUGUUAUUAUCAAAAUAAGUAAUAUGCUUCAUAUUUACUUUUAUCGGUUAAAAAUAUGUUUAUUAGAACUUUGUCAUAAAUGUUUUAAAAUAUAUCUUAACCCAUUUUGUCAUUAGUGUCAAGAGUUUAAACUUUUAAACUAAAUCUCGAGUGGCAAAGAGAAUCUAUGAAAAAAAUUCAAUUUUCAGCUCAUUCUAACAUAUUUUUGUGGCUCCGCCCUUGAUAUAAUUGUCAAUAUCUGUUUUGAUACAUCAGACAGAACCAAAUAUUGUGGCCUUAAUUAAGAAGGUUUCUUGGUCUUCUCCUGCCCAGAUUUGAACUGUAAAAUGAAGUAAAUCCUCUUAUAUUGAUAAUUUAAAUAUGAAUCCAAACCAGAGUGCAUUGAAGCAUUUCAGUACUACAAUACAUCUUAUUCAGCAGAAAAUGCUAAUGCAACAUUUCUCGGAAACAAAAAUCACCCAACUAUAUAUUUUUUUAUGCAGUGUAAAUUUCAGCAACACGUUUAAUUGUAGGCAUCGGGAUUCGCUUGGAGAUAAGCCUCGACAGCCUUGAAAAUUCCCAUGGCCUUUUCUUUACCUUCCUUGAUCUUCUCCUCGGAAAUCUCGGCAUCACCCUUGGUGUUGUAAAUGCUCCUGUUCUUGCAGAUAGAUCCUCCAUCAGCAGCCGGAACAAUUUUGACAUGGUAAUUGAUCGACUCCAGAACGUCCGUCAGAGCAUCCCCUUCGAUGAUGCUAUAGCUAUAUGUCAAAUUUUCUUUGUCAAUAUUAUCAACACGGUGCUUGACGCCCUUGAACUGGCUUCCUUCGCCAAAAGUGAUAACCUUGAUGGUUCCGACUCCACCAUCUCCCUUAAGGAUUUCGACACUUUUGAUAGCUUGAGGCAGGAUCUUGGGGAUGAGGUUGUCAGCGUCGAGGAUAAACGACUUGAACAACUUUCCGGCUGGGAUUGAUGAAGUGAUCUCCAUAUCAUAAGUGAUGGCACCCAUGAUGAUUUCUCAAGUAUGGAAUAAUAUGAAAAAAGAUAGCUAAAAUUGUUUGGUGG